CAGGGUUUGACAUCCUGUGCUCGCUCCUUAAUGGGAGUUUCCCCGCAAGGGGCACAGAGACAGGUGCUGCAUGGCUGUCGUCAGCUCGUGUCGUGAGAUGUUGGGUUAAGUCCCGCAACGAGCGCAACCCUCGCCUUUAGUUGCCAUCAUUCAGUUGGGCACUCUAGAGGGACCGCCGGCGACAAGCCGGAGGAAGGUGGGGAUGACGUCAAGUCCUCAUGGCCCUUACACCCUGGGCUACACACGUGCUACAAUGGCGGUGACAGUGGGCAGCUACUUCGCGAGGAGCGGCUAAUCCCAAAAAACCGUCCCAGUUCAGAUUGCACUCUGCAACUCGAGUGCAUGAAGGUGGAAUCGCUAGUAAUCGCAGAACAGCAGGCUGCGGUGAAUACGUUCCC
Molecule: ribosomal RNA, 398 nt
Filed under: uncultured bacterium
Lineage: Bacteria
Description: bacterial SSU rRNA
Rfam family: Bacterial small subunit ribosomal RNA
Source: RNAcentral